Molecule: ribosomal RNA, 496 nt
Filed under: uncultured bacterium
Lineage: Bacteria
Description: partial 16S ribosomal RNA
Rfam family: Bacterial small subunit ribosomal RNA
Source: RNAcentral
GAUGAACGCUGGCGGCGUGCCUAAUACAUGCAAGUCGAGCGAACAGACGAGGAGCUUGCUCCUCUGACGUUAGCGGCGGACGGGUGAGUAACACGUGGAUAACCUACCUAUAAGACUGGGAUAACUUCGGGAAACCGGAGCUAAUACCGGAUAAUAUAUUGAACCGCAUGGUUCAAUAGUGAAAGACGGUUUUGCUGUCACUUAUAGAUGGAUCCGCGCCGCAUUAGCUAGUUGGUAAGGUAACGGCUUACCAAGGCAACGAUGCGUAGCCGACCUGAGAGGGGGAUCGGCAAACCGGGAACUGAGAAACGGUCCAGACUCCUACGGAAGGCAGCAGUGGGGAAUCUGCCGCAAGGGGCGAAAGCCUGACGGAGCAACGCCGCGUGAGUGAUGAAGGUCUUCGGAUCGUAAAACUCUGUUAUUAGGGAAGAACAAAUGUGUAAGUAACUAUGCACGUCUUGACGGUACCUAAUCAGAAAGCCACGGCUAACUACGU